Molecule: long non-coding RNA, 816 nt
Organism: Musa acuminata AAA Group (dessert banana)
Lineage: Eukaryota; Viridiplantae; Streptophyta; Magnoliopsida; Zingiberales; Musaceae
Exons: 3
Source: RefSeq, a predicted model, not a curated record
UAUGAUGCCUCACUUGUAUAUGGACAAUUUAGACUACUGUAAGCGUUUACUAAUAGGGGAAAAUGUGGAAAGCAUACGCUCGUUGAAAAUCCAUAUUUAAAUUCAACAGUUUCGUCCCAGUAAGAGCACGAAGCGGAGAGGAGAAGGUGAAGAGAGUUGCUGAGCUUGAUGCUAUGCGAAGGCUGGGUAUGCUUUUCCUGGGCUGCAGAAAAUCUUUAAGAUUUCAACACGACCAUAUUUGAUCGAUCUGGAAGUGCUCAGGUUGGUAACAUCUGGACAUUGGUGUUCGAGUGAGGGAAGAGAAGGGAUGGGGUUAGCAGAGGUGCUGCUCUUACUAUUUCUGACAUUGGGACCAAUGGGUUCGACAGGAGCAGAAAAUACAUCCACGGACGUAACUUUUCCCCUCCCUUCCAAACUGCCCAAAAAGCUGUGGUAACAUCAGCUUCGAGUACCCUUUCGGUAUAGGCAGCGGCUGCUUUCGUCCAGGUUUUAAUCCUACCUGCAUAAACCAAACCACUGAUCCUCCUGCUCGUAGCCUCUUCUUGGGCGAUGGCACCGUUGAGGUCAUUGAUUUUGAUAUGGACAAUGGAAUCGUGUACGUGAAAACUCCAAUUGUCACCAUGGGUGUCGAUGAGGACUAUUUCAGCCACACAUUGAUUGAUCUGAGGAAUUUCCCCUUCUCUUUUAACUUGGAGGCAAACUUUACAGACAGUUACACUAUUUCAAUGGCAUAUAACUAUAUUUUUGUAGCCGGUUGCAGCGCUAUUGCCGAUCUAGUUGAUCUUGCUACCAAUAAAACCAUUCAUACUUGCUCAA